GACGAACGCUGGCGGCGUGCUUAACACAUGCAAGUCGAACGGAAAGGCCCUGCUUUUGUGGGGUGCUCGAGUGGCGAACGGGUGAGUAACACGUGAGUAACCUGCCCUUGACUUUGGGACAACUUCAGGAAACUGGGGCUAAUACCGGAUAGGAGCUCCUGCUGCAUGGUGGGGGUUGGAAAGUUUCGGCGGUUGGGGAUGGACUCGCGGCUUAUCAGCUUGUUGGUGGGGUAGUGGCUUACCAAGGCUUUGACGGGUAGCCGGCCUGAGAGGGUGACCGGCCACAUGGGGCCUGAGAGACGGCGCAGACUCCUACGGGAGGCAGCAGUGGGGAAUAUUGCACAAUGGGCGGAAGCCUGAUGCAGCAACGCCGCGUGCGGGAUGAGGGCCUUCGGGUUGUAAACCGCUUUCGCCUGUGACGAAGCGUGAGUGACGGUAAUGGAUAAAGAAGCACCGGCUAACUACGUG
Molecule: ribosomal RNA, 468 nt
Filed under: uncultured bacterium
Lineage: Bacteria
Description: partial 16S ribosomal RNA
Rfam family: Bacterial small subunit ribosomal RNA
Source: RNAcentral